CCUACGGGUGGCAGCAGUGAGGAAUAUUGGUCAAUGGACGAGAGUCUGAACCAGCCAAGUAGCGUGAGGGAUGAAUGUUCUAUGGAUCGUAACCCUCUUUUAUAAGGGAAUAAAGUGCGGGACGUGUCCCGUUUUGUAUGUACCUUAUGAAUAAGGAUCGGCUAACUCCGUGCCAGCAGCCGCGGUAAUCCGUAGGAUCCGAGCGUUAUCCGGAUUUAUUGUGUUUAAAGGGUCCGUAGGCGGCCUUUUAAGUCAGCGGUGAAAGUCUGUGGCUCAACCAUAGAAUUGCCGUUGAAACUGGUAGGCUUGAGUAUGUUUGAGGAAGGCGGAAUGCGUGGUGUAGCGGUGAAAUGCUUAGAUAUCACGCAGAACCCCGAUUGCGAAGGCAGCCUGCCAAGCCAUGACUGACGCUGAUGCACGAAAGCGUGGGGAUCAAACAGGAUUAGAUACCCUAGUAGUC
RNAcentral lists this ribosomal RNA (460 nucleotides) under uncultured bacterium. RNAcentral describes it as "partial 16S ribosomal RNA". It matches the Rfam family "Bacterial small subunit ribosomal RNA", at positions 338 to 795 of the family's 1533-position model. The record is from RNAcentral.